RNAcentral lists this ribosomal RNA (492 nucleotides) under uncultured bacterium. RNAcentral's name for it is "partial 16S ribosomal RNA". It matches the Rfam family "Bacterial small subunit ribosomal RNA", at positions 29 to 507 of the family's 1533-position model. The record is from RNAcentral.
AGUGAACGCUGGCGGUAGGCCUAACACAUGCAAGUCGAACGACAGCACAGUAAGAGCUUGCUCUUACGGGUGGCGAGUGGCGGAUGGGUGAGGAAUACAUCAGAAUCUACUUUUUCGUGGGGGAUAACGUAGGGAAACUUACGCUAAUACCGCAUACGACCUACGGGUGAAAUCAGUAGAUAUUCGCACCUUUCGUGAUUGUAUUAGACGGCGUCGGAUUAGCUAGUUGGGUGGGUAAAGGCCCACCAAGGCGACGAUGCGUAGCGGGUCUGAGAGGAUGAUCAGCCACACUGGAACUGAGACACGGUCCAGACUCCUACGGGAGGCAGCAGUGGGGAAUAUUGGGCAAUGGGCGCAAGCCUGAUCCAGCCAUACCGCGUGAGUGAAGAAGGCCUUCGGGUUGUAAAGCCCUUUUGUUGGGAAAGAAAAGAUGCAUGUUAAUAUCCCGCUGUUCUGACGGUACCCAAAGAAUAAGCCCCGGCUAACUUCGUG